RNAcentral lists this ribosomal RNA (116 nucleotides) under Pantoea agglomerans. The record is from RNAcentral. Lineage: Bacteria; Pseudomonadati; Pseudomonadota; Gammaproteobacteria; Enterobacterales; Erwiniaceae.
CCUGGCGGCUUUAGCGCGGUGGUCCCACCUGACCCCAUGCCGAACUCAGAAGUGACACGCCGUAGCGCCGAUGGUAGUGUGGGGUCUCCCCAUGCGAGAGUAGGGAACUGCCAGGC